RNAcentral lists this ribosomal RNA (407 nucleotides) under uncultured bacterium. Its description in RNAcentral is "bacterial SSU rRNA". It matches the Rfam family "Bacterial small subunit ribosomal RNA", at positions 28 to 434 of the family's 1533-position model. The record is from RNAcentral.
GACGAACGCUGGCGGCGUGCCCAACACAUGCAAGUCAACUUGACUGAAGGAGCAAUCUGACAGUAGAGUGGCGCAAGGGUGCGUAACGCGUAAGUAACUUGCCCAAGGUAAGGAAUAACGUCGAGAAAUCGGCGCUAAUACCUCAUAAUGCAGCGGAUCGCAUGGAUAAUGUUGUUAAAGGUUUACCGCCUUGGGAUAGGCUUGCGUCUGAUUAGCUAGUUGGUGUGGUAACGGCACACCAAGGCUACGAUCAGUAACUGGUCUGAGAGGAUGAUCAGUCACACUGGAACUGAGACACGGUCCAGACUCCUACGGGAGGCAGCAGUGAGGAAUAUUAGGGCAAUGCUCGAAAGAGUGACCCAGCAACGCCGCGUGGAGGAUGAAGGUAUUCUAUAUCGUAAACUCCU